UACGAAGGGGGCUAGCGUUGCUCGGAAUGACUGGGCGUAAAGGGCGCGUAGGCGGCUUACACCGUCAGAUGUGAAAUCCCCGGGCUCAACCUGGGAAUUGCAUUUGUGACUGCACGGCUAGAGUGUGUCAGAGGGGGGUAGAAUUCCACGUGUAGCAGUGAAAUGCGCAGAUAUCAGGAGGAACACCGGUGGCGAAGGCGCCACUCUGGGCCGGUACUGACGCUGAGGAGCGAAAGCGUGGGGAGCGAACAGG
This 253-nucleotide ribosomal RNA is filed under the name uncultured bacterium. RNAcentral describes it as "partial 16S ribosomal RNA". It matches the Rfam family "Bacterial small subunit ribosomal RNA", at positions 524 to 776 of the family's 1533-position model. The record is from RNAcentral.